This is a long non-coding RNA of Oryzias melastigma (Indian medaka), 914 nucleotides long. RefSeq lists it as uncharacterized. The transcript is spliced from 2 exons. Lineage: Eukaryota; Metazoa; Chordata; Actinopteri; Beloniformes; Adrianichthyidae. The record is from RefSeq and is a predicted model, not a curated record.
CUGUGAUGUCCUCAGAGAUGUUCUGGUCUUUCUGGAUCAUGAACGUGUGGAGGGAGGUGGAACCAGGAUCUUUAGAGGGGGAUGACUGAGCUUUCCCAUGAGCCUUUGCAGCUGCUCUGGGGAUGCUUGUUUUGAAGCAUCUCUCUGGUCUUCCUGGAGGUUUUCUGGUCUCUCUCCAGAUGAAACCAGAACAUGGAUGGAGAUUAAGAGGAUGUGACUUUAAUGACCUGAAGAUUCAGUCCAUCUGAUCUGUUUGCUUCAUCUCCAUCAGUCUCUUCUUCUGUUUUCAUGCCCUCCUGGAGGUCAUUAAACCAGCUUUACCUCGUGGACUCAGCGCUCUGACUGCCCCCUCCUGCCCCCCCCUCAGUGACCCUGACAUGUUUGUAUUUACUGAGGAUUUAGCAGAAAGUGAACAAUUACAUUUUCUCCAGGAGAGUAAUGGUUGGGAGAUUGUUCCGCCGUCUGUCCUUCCUUUCAGGUGGACACUUUGACAGAUUUCAAAUGAGUGUUACCUGGUGUCAAAUGUGGCUCAGCAGCCGCCGCUGUUCUUUCCCUCUCUUUAGAAACGACUGUGGAAGCCCGGCGCCCGGAUCGAUGCGCCCCUUACCCGCUGUAAAUUGGAUGGCCGGGGAUUGAUUCAUCUGAGCGCUGAAGGAGAGCGGCGUGCGGCUCCGGAGGCUGAGACGCCUGGAUCUGCGGCUGAUCUGGAUAAUGGAGCUGCAGCUCUUGACCCUGAGGGUGAACGCUCAAGCGGCCUUUUGUCUGGCCGAGUCUGCACUCGGCUCACCUGUUCUGCUAGUCAUCGCUCUCCACACCAGACGAGCGAGUCCAAAAAGUCUGUUCAGAUCAUUAAAGGAUCUACUUUUAAAAAUCUUUUCAACCCAAUAAAUCUGUGAUUGACCUGCAAACCUCAA